Molecule: small nuclear RNA, 106 nt
Filed under: Marmota marmota marmota (Alpine marmot)
Lineage: Eukaryota; Metazoa; Chordata; Mammalia; Rodentia; Sciuridae
Also listed under: 1 other name
Source: RNAcentral
GUGCUUGCUUCGGUAGCACAUAUACUAAAUUUGGUAUGAUACAGAGAAGAUAGCAUGGCCCCUGUGCAAGGAUGACACGCAAAUUCAUGAAGUGUUCCAUAUUUUU